Molecule: long non-coding RNA, 1722 nt
Organism: Acipenser ruthenus (sterlet)
Lineage: Eukaryota; Metazoa; Chordata; Actinopteri; Acipenseriformes; Acipenseridae
Exons: 3
Source: RefSeq, a predicted model, not a curated record
ACAGCAUAAAGAAAUAGCAAACAGGUUCUAACUGUGUAAUUAAGAAUCAUUGCUGUAACGAAAGCCCAUUGAGAGGCUUAUUACAAAUUUAGAUUGUAUUCCUGAGAUUAACAAAAGGGAUUAAUAUGAGGAUUGUAAUUGCAAAUUACAGUGCUCUAGCAAGGGAGGUUGAGAGAUAAAUGGCUGAGACAAGUUAUGUUCCCUAGAACAAUGAAGAAAAGUGCACAUAGCUAAUUAACCUUGCGAUGAUUCUGGGAUCACUGAUUCAAAAUUAGUCACCAGUGCAAAUAUGGAUCUUGAGGAUCUUGAGGAAGGAAUGACCAGAACUGACAUGAGCCAGGAGGAGGAGGAGGAGAGUCAAAGCAAUCAUGCUGAGGAAGAGAGUAAUAGCUCAUUUGCUGUGUCAGAUUCCUCUGCAGAGACAGACGCCUUUAUCCAAGGCGACUUACAGAGACUAGGAACCAGUGUAUGGAGCAACAACGCCUUCAGCAUCUGGGAGGAGUGGCUUCUGUCAAGAUUCUCAGAAGACAACACUGUUCCACAGAGCGCAUAGUGUCGCAGUUACUUGAAGGUCUGAAAAAUAUAAAUCAACACAAUUCUGGUUCACCUCACAGAUAUGACACAUACCAUGCUUCACAGUUGCAUAAUCACAAGAUUUAAUCCUUCAAUCAACUGCCCUGCAACCAGUAAACCUGUCAGUGGGGCAAGGAUAUAUGGAGGCCCUGAAAGAACAACCAGAGAAUUGAUUAAUGAUUAUGUUUUACAUGACUUAUAGGUCAUUUUGUAUGAAAGGCUCCGCCCCCUCACCACACAGAAAAAAGAUCUACAACAUUUGACUUAGUAAGUCAGAAUUCUAACUUUGUAUGUCAGAAUUUUAACUUGGUAAAAUGGAGACAGCUAUUUCAGAAAUUUGUGAUGCUGAGUUGGAAUUCCGACUUAUUAGGUUAGAUGUUGUACAAAAACUUUGGUGGAACUAAUUUAUGUACUUUUGUAUUUCUUAUACUGUUCAAGAAGUGCCUGUGAAAGUAGCAUUUAUGAUUACAGUAAAAUACUAUUAAGCUGAGGGUUAAAAUUUUAUGGUACAAAUUUCAAUUUUUAUCUUUCUGCAAAAGAUUUUCAAAAACAGUAACUUGUCCAAUCUUAUAAUUUAGCAAAUGUUUCAAAUCACAUCAGUUUAUUUACUGAUAUUUAAUAGAACAUUUUUAAUAUAACAUUUUUUUUUGUUUUGAUAGUCAGUAUAUUUUUGUCAGUUACUUGUAUUCCAGUGCCUGUACCAUUGUAUUUGUUUUAAAAAAUUGUUCUGUGUUUAUAAAACAUUUGAAGCUAAUUAUUGUAGAUUUACAGUGGCUGUUGCUACUUACUGCAGUUGGUUGAAUUAGGGUUGUUUUUUAUUCCAUUGGUUCCCAACCCUGGUCCUGGAGGGCCCCUGUGUCUGCUGGUUUUUGUUCUAGCUCUGAUUACUUAAUUUGACCAUUAAUUUAACUAUAAUUGGUUUAUUUAGACAUUUUCAAUCGUUUUUAACUGUAAAACGUGUGGCGAUUGUUCAGAUAAAAACAAGCAGACACAGUGGUCCUCCAGGAACCACUCACUUACACGGCUUAAACCUGUGCACUUCAUGGGUCAUGCCAUUUGUAAUGUUACCCUCAAUAACUUGUACUCUAUGGCUACAAAACAUUGUACUGUAGUAAUGGUUCAGAAGGUACAAAUACAUAGUAUACAGAA